CCAACUUGGUCAUUUAGAGGAAGUAAAAGUCGUAACAAGGUUUCCGUAGGUGAACCUGCGGAAGGAUCAUUCGAAAAGAGUCAUGCCGUCUUCGGCGACCCGAAUGGCCCACCUCCUACGGUGUGCUUUUCGUGUGCAACUGUUGAAGACCUGGUCCUCGAUCGGUCUUCUAAUAUAUAUUUUUUACACACAAGAGCUGAAAAAUGGCUCGAUUGUCUGAAAGAUCUGAAAAGGCUUGGUUCUCGAAUCAGUCUUUGAAGAAAUUCGUAAACACAACUUUCAACAACGGAUCUCUUGGCUCUCGCAUCGAUGAAGAACGCAGC
Molecule: unclassified non-coding RNA, 323 nt
Filed under: uncultured fungus
Lineage: Eukaryota; Fungi
Description: partial contains small subunit ribosomal RNA, internal transcribed spacer 1, and 5.8S ribosomal RNA
Rfam family: Eukaryotic small subunit ribosomal RNA (bases 1-72)
Source: RNAcentral